GCCCUUUGAGGAACCUUUGAAAUCAAAGUGAAGUUUAUUGGUACACAGAUUAGCAGAUGUUAAAUCAGGUGCAGUGAAAUGCCUGUGUUUCUACCUCCAACAGUGCAGUAAUACCUAACAAUACACACAUCAUCGAAACAAUUUAAACAAAUACAUUUAGAAAUAUCAGAACGAGCCAUGUCAGAGUCCAGAAUAUAAAUCUAUAUAAUGGUGUGUAUAGACAGUAUAGACAGUAAUUAUUAUAGGAUGGUGUGUAUAGACAGUAGUUAUAUAGGAUGGUGUGUAUAGACAGUAUAGACAGUAGUUAUAUAGGAUGGUGUGUAUAGACAGUAGUUAUAUAGGAUGGUGUGUAUAGACAGUAGUUAUAUAGGAUGGUGUGUAUAGACAGUAGUUAUAUAGGAUGGUGUGUAUAGACAGUAGUUAUAUAGGAUGGUGUGUAUAGACAGUAUAGACAGUAGUUAUAUGGGAUGGUGUGUAUAGACAGUAUAGACAGUAGAUGGUGUGUAUAGACAGUAGUUAUAUAGGAUGGUGUGUAUAGACAGUAUAGACAGUAGUUAUAUAGGAUGGUGUGUAUAGACAGUAUAGACAGUAGAUGGUGUAUAUAGACAGUAUAGACAGUAGUUAUAUAGGAUGGUGUAUAUAGACAGUAUAGACAGUAGUUAUAUAGGAUGAACCAUGACUAGAAUACAGUAUAUACAUACAGUGUAAAACAGUAUGAAAACAUGAAUAAAGUGACAAGUGUUCAACGGAUCUAUGUACACAGGGCAGCAGUUACUGGGUGGAGGCUAGUAACAGUAUCUAAGGUUCAGGGCAGCAGUUACUGGGUGGAGGCUAGUAACAGUAACUGAGGUUCAGGGCAGGGUACUGGGUGGAGGUUGGCUAGUAACAGUAACUAAGGUUCAGGGCAGGGUACUGGGUGGAGGCUAGUAACAGUAACUAAGGUUCAGGGCAGGGUACUGGGUGGAGGCUAGUAACAGUAUCUAAGGUUCAGGGCAGGGUACUGGGCAGGGUACUGGGUGGAGGCUAGUAACAGUAUCUAAGGUUCAGGGCAGGGUACUGGGCAGGGUACUGGGUGGAGGCUAGUAACAGUAACUAAGGUUCAGGGCAGCAGUUUCUGGGUGGAGGCUAGUAACAGUAACUAAGGUUCAGGGCAGGGUACUGGGUGGAGGCUAGUAACAGUAACUAAGGUUCAGGGCAGGGUACUGGGUGGAGGCUAGUAACAGUAACUAAGGUUCAGGUAGGGUACUGGGUGGAGGCUAGUAACAGUUUCUAAGGUUCAGGGCAGGGUACUGGGUGGAGGCUAGUAACAGUAACUAAGGUUCAGGGCAGGGUACUGGGUGGAGGCUGGCUAGUAACAGUAACUAAGGUUCAGGGCAGGGUACUGGGUGGAGGGUAGCUAGAAACAGUGACUAAGGUUCAGGGCAGGGUACUGGGUGGAGGCUGGCUAGUAACAGUAACUAAGGUUCAGGGCAGGGUACUGGGUGGAGGCUAGUAAGAGUCACUAAGGUUCAGGGCAGGGUACUGGGUGGAGGCUGGCUAGUAACAGUAACUAAGGUUCAUGGCAGGGUUCUGGGUGGAGGCUGGCUAGUGACAGUGGCUAAGGUUCAGGGCAGGAUACUGGGUGGAGGCUGGCUAGUGACAGUGGCUAAGGUUCAGGGCAGGGUACUGGGUGGAGGCUGGAAUGUGGUAACUAAGAUUCAGGGCAGGGUUCUGAGUGGAGGAUGGCUUGUGUUGACUAAGGUAUAGGGCAGGGUACUGGGUGGAGGCUGGAUAGUGGUAACUAAGGUUCAGGGCAGGGUACUGGGUGGAGGCCGGAUAGUGACAGUGACUAAUGUUCAGGGCAGGGUACUGGGUGGAGGCUGGAUAGUGACAGUGACUAAGGUUCAGGGCUGGGUACUGGGUGGAGGCUGGAUAGUGACAGUGACUAACGGUCAUGGCAGGGUACUGGGUGGUGGCCGGAUAGUGACAGUGACUAACGGUCAUGGCAGGGUACUGGGUGGAGGCUGGAUAGUGACAGUGACUAACGGUCAUGGCAGGGUACUGGGUGGAGGCUGGCCAGUGGUUAAUAAGGUUCAGGGCAGGGUACUGGGUGGAGGCCGGAUAGUGGUAACUAAGAUUCAGAGCAGGGUACUGGGUGGAGGCCGGAUAGUGGUGACUUUUUAACAAUCUGAUAUAUGAUCCUUAUAAAUCCUUAAUACACACCACUCUGAUAUUAGAAUCAGCUGAAGAUUUAUCAUUUCUGGUGUUGUAUAUUCCAUCUAAAGCUCUGUUGUUCUAUAUGUCUCUGUCUCUCUCUCCUUCUUCAUCCAGACACAGACUGCUGUGUUAUAACAGAUUACAGCCCUGUGGAAUAUCCCUAUCAUCAUGAUACAUUUUAUAUAUAAAAGUAUGUGGACACCCCUUCACAUUAGUGGAUUCGGCUAUUUUAACCACACCCGUUGCUGACAGGUGAAUAAAAUCGAGCAACACAGCCAUGAAAUCUCCACAGACAAACAUUGGCAGUAGAAUGGCCUUACUGAAGAGCUCAGUGACUUUCAAAGUGGCACCAUCAUAGGGUGCCACCUUUCCAACAAGUAAGUUUGUCAAAUUUCUGCCCUGCUAGAGCUUCCUGGUCAACUGUAAAUGCUGUUAUUGUGAAGUGAAAAAGUCUAGGAGCAACAACGGCUCAGGCGCGAAGUGGUAGGCCACACAAGCUCACAGAACGGGACCGCCGAGUGCUGAAGCGCAUCCUCAGUUGCAUCGCUCACUACCGAGUUUCAAACUGCCUCUGGAAGCAACAUCAACUGUUCGUCGGGAGGUUCAUGAAAUGGGUUUCCGUGGCUGAGCAGCCGCACACAAGCCUAAGAUCACCAUGCGCAAUGCCAAGCGUUCGCUGGAGUGGUGUAAAGCUCGCCGCCAUUGGACUCUGGAGCAGUGGAAACAAGUUCUCUGGAGUGAUGAAUCACGCUUCACCAUCUGGCAGUCCGACGGACGAAUCUGGGUUUGGCGGAUGCCAGGAGAACACUACCUGCCCCAAUGAAUAGUGCCAACUGUAAAGUUUGGUGGAGGAGGAAUAAUGGUCUGGGGCUGUUUUUCAUGGUUCGGGCCCCUUAGUUCCAGUGAAGGGAAAUCUUAACGCUACAGCAUUCAAUGACAUUCUAGACAAUUCUGUGCUACUAAAUUUGUGGCAACAGUU
This 3175-nucleotide long non-coding RNA is filed under the name Salmo salar (Atlantic salmon). RNAcentral's name for it is "lncRNA (ENSSSAG00000087279.1, ENSSSAG00000113442.1)". Lineage: Eukaryota; Metazoa; Chordata; Actinopteri; Salmoniformes; Salmonidae. The record is from RNAcentral.